Molecule: ribosomal RNA, 503 nt
Filed under: uncultured Glomeromycotina
Lineage: Eukaryota; Fungi; Glomeromycota
Description: SSU rRNA
Rfam family: Eukaryotic small subunit ribosomal RNA
Source: RNAcentral
AGCAGCCGCGGUAAUUCCAGCUCCAAUAGCGUAUAUUAAAGUUGUUGCAGUUAAAAAGCUCGUAGUUGAAUUUCGGGAUCGAAUUGUUGGUCGUGCUUCGGUACGUACUGGCAUUAUUGGUUCCUACCUUCUGAAGAACCGCGAUGUCAUUAAUUUGGUGUCGUGGGGAAUCAGGACUGUUACUUUGAAAAAAUUAGAGUGUUUAAAGCAAGCUAACGCUUGAAUACAUUAGCAUGGAAUAAUGAAAUAGGACGUUCGAUCCUAUUUUGUUGGUUUCUAGGAUUGACGUAAUGAUUAAUAGGGAUAGUUGGGGGCAUUAGUAUUCAAUUGUCAGAGGUGAAAUUCUUGGAUUUAUUGAAGACUAACUACUGCGAAAGCAUUUGCCAAGGAUGUUUUCAUUAAUCAAGAACGAAAGUUGGGGGCUCGAAGACGAUCAGAUACCGUCCUAGUCUCAACCAUAAACGAUGCCGACCAGGGAUCGGCGGAUGUUACUUUUAGGACUC